CGCGGGCGGAGGCUUCCGGGGCUGGGGGCGGUGCCACGUGCAGUGCCGGCGGCGCACGGCAGAGGGCGUAGAGGAGCUACCGCCGCCCUCCCGGAUCCCCACGGCGCGGUCCGCGACGCCCGCCCUGCCGCCGCCUGGCCGAAGCCUCUCCAAGGCCAAGGCCACCCUCGGCCCCGCCCCGCCGCAACCGCCGCCCCGGAGUGUCGGUCGAAGAUCACCCUAGGCCCACGCCCUCUGCCCGCCCCGGACGCGCCACCCCCUUCCUGGGCCUCCCUCCCUCCUUCCGCUCCAGAUGAAGAAAAUGAGGCCCAGGAUGGACCUUGUUCUAUCUGGAAAAAGACAGAAAAGGGACCUUAGGACUGGAAAGGCAACUAUAGGAGCAGCACCCCCUGGUGGCGUUGGGGACCCAAGGUCCAGGGCUGGGAAUAUAGCUCAGUUGCACCACACCUGCCUGCCAAACAUUUGAUUCCCAGUACCAGAAAAAAGGAAAAAAAAAAAAAAGAAAGAAAGAAAAGAAAAAUAAAUUCUUAGGUCCAGCUGAAAUCCCUAAGAUAGAGAAAUGGUAUUAAGAUUGAUUUGGAAGACAAGCACAGUGGCCCCAAGGAUCACAAGUUUGAGACCAGUCUGGGCAAGUUGAUAAGAGCCAGCUUCAAAAAACAGACUGCUGAGG
RNAcentral lists this long non-coding RNA (670 nucleotides) under Heterocephalus glaber (naked mole-rat). RNAcentral describes it as "lncRNA (ENSHGLG00100041571.1)". The record is from RNAcentral. Lineage: Eukaryota; Metazoa; Chordata; Mammalia; Rodentia; Bathyergidae.